UAUGCUAGAACCCUACAGUGGUAUCAGAGCCAUCCUUAAUUGGUUCAAUCAAAUAAUUAUGUAUGAUGUAUGAUUAUUAAUUUACUAUGAGAUAGUAAUGUCAUAUGCUUAGAGAAAUGCUGAAAUGUACGAUUCAUAUAUGAUAUGUUAUGUAAUAAAAUAUCAUGAUAUGAAAUUUUCCAUAUGAAAAUAUGUUGAAGCAUGUUAAUUAAUUGCUUAUGAUUU
Molecule: long non-coding RNA, 225 nt
Filed under: Phoenix dactylifera (date palm)
Lineage: Eukaryota; Viridiplantae; Streptophyta; Magnoliopsida; Arecales; Arecaceae
Description: long non-coding RNA (PDAC_LNC008586)
Source: RNAcentral